This is a long non-coding RNA of Leptinotarsa decemlineata (Colorado potato beetle), 493 nucleotides long. RefSeq lists it as uncharacterized. The record is from RefSeq and is a predicted model, not a curated record. Lineage: Eukaryota; Metazoa; Arthropoda; Insecta; Coleoptera; Chrysomelidae.
AUAAACUAAAAUACUCUCUUUCAUUCGACAUUCAUGAGUGCAUUUGCUUGUUUGUGUACAUUUAUUUCUGGAAUUGCACAUCGUGAAUUCCAUAUGGUGAAUGCCUCUAAAAAUGGAGUAACUUUGUGCCAUUUAUUUUCGCAACUGACGUCAUUGAACUCAUUUUGGGGAAAACUUAGUAUUUAUUCAUAGCCUUCCAUACAUUAUUCUCCGUUUUCUGGUUUCGCCGAUGACAAGAAAUGAAUUUAUAGACGCUUUACUUCCACGACAACUCUCCAACAAUUUCGUAAAGAAUUUUAAUAGUGAUUUAUGGCAGAUUUACUUGUAGAAGUUCAGGAGGGUUGUGAAGGAUAUUCUCAUUCCAAAGGAAUACUAGGAUUCGCAAGAAAAUUCAACUAUAUAGUUACCUGUAUAUGUUAUUAUAUUUGAAUUGAUAUAUUAAUAUUUGUAUGACAUUUAUAUGUAUAUUGAAUACAGAUGUUACACAUCCUAA